This 468-nucleotide ribosomal RNA is filed under the name uncultured bacterium. Its description in RNAcentral is "partial 16S ribosomal RNA". It matches the Rfam family "Bacterial small subunit ribosomal RNA", at positions 28 to 507 of the family's 1533-position model. The record is from RNAcentral.
GACGAACGCUGGCGGCGUGCUUAACACAUGCAAGUCGAACGGAAAGGCCCUGCUUUUGUGGGGUGCUCGAGUGGCGAACGGGUGAGUAACACGUGAGUAACCUGCCCUUGACUUUGGGAUAACUUCAGGAAACUGGGGCUACUACCGGAUAGGAGCUCCUGCUGCAUGGUGGGGGUUGGAAAGUUUCGGCGGUUGGGGAUGGACUCGCGGCUUAUCAGCUUGUUGGUGGGGUAGUGGCUUACCAAGGCUUUGACGGGUAGCCGGCCUGAGAGGGUGACCGGCCACAUUGGGACUGAGAUACGGCCCAGACUCCUACGGGAGGCAGCAGUGGGGAAUAUUGCACAAUGGGCGGAAGCCUGAUGCAGCAACGCCGCGUGCGGGAUGACGGCCUUCGGGUUGUAAACCGCUUUCGCCUGUGACGAAGCGUGAGCGACGGUAAUGGGUAAAGAAGCACCGGCUAACUACGUG